RNAcentral lists this ribosomal RNA (504 nucleotides) under uncultured bacterium. RNAcentral describes it as "partial 16S ribosomal RNA". It matches the Rfam family "Bacterial small subunit ribosomal RNA", at positions 30 to 523 of the family's 1533-position model. The record is from RNAcentral.
AUUGAACGCUGGUGGCAGGCCUAACACAUGCAAGUCGAGCGGUAGCACAGAGAGCUUGCUCUCGGGUGACGAGCGGCGGACGGGUGAGUAAUGUCUGGGAAACUGCCUGAUGGAGGGGGAUAACUACUGGAAACGGUAGCUAAUACCGCAUAACGUCGCAAGACCAAAGUGGGGGACCUUCGGGCCUCAUGCCAUCAGAUGUGCCCAGAUGGGAUUAGCUGGUAGGUGGGGUAACGGCUCACCUAGGCGACGAUCCCUAGCUGGUCUGAGAGGAUGACCAGCCACACUGGAACUGAGACACGGUCCAGACUCCUACGGGAGGCAGCAGUGGGGAAUAUUGCACAAUGGGCGCAAGCCUGAUGCAGCCAUGCCGCGUGUGUGAAGAAGGCCUUCGGGUUGUAAAGCACUUUCAGCGGGGAGGAAGGCGAUAAGGUUAAUAACCUUGUCGAUUGACGUUACCCGCAGAAGAAGCACCGGCUAACUCCGUGCCAGCAGCCGCAGUAA